AUUGAACGCUGGCGGCAUGCCUUACACAUGCAAGUCGAACGGCAGCACGGGAGCAAUCCUGGUGGCGAGUGGCGAACGGGUGAGUAAUAUAUCGGAACGUGCCCAGUCGUGGGGGAUAACGCAGCGAAAGCUGUGCUAAUACCGCUUACGAUCUCUGGAUGAAAGCGGGGGACCGUAAGGCCUCGCGCGAUUGGAGCGGCCGAUAUCAGAUUAGCUAGUUGGUGGGGUAAAGGCCCACCAAGGCGACGAUCUGUAGCUGGUCUGAGAGGACGACCAGCCACAAUGGAACUGAGACACGGUCCAGACGCCUACGGGAGGCAGCAGUGGGGAAUUUUGGACAAUGGGCGAAAGCCUGAUCCAGCAAUGCCGCGUGCAGGAUGAAGGCCUUCGGGUUGUAAACUGCUUUUGUACGGAACGAAACGGCGAGCUCUAAUAAAGUUUGCUAAUGACGGUACCGUAAGAAUAAGCACCGGCUAACUACGUGCCAGCAGCCGCAGUAA
This 500-nucleotide ribosomal RNA is filed under the name uncultured bacterium. Its description in RNAcentral is "partial 16S ribosomal RNA". It matches the Rfam family "Bacterial small subunit ribosomal RNA", at positions 30 to 523 of the family's 1533-position model. The record is from RNAcentral.